GGGGCCGACUUGGAUUUGACUGCAAUAGCGGUAGAUAUACAAGCAUGUCGAGUAACGCAUUUGAUCUCGUAAAACUCUGAGUGCAAAUCAAGAAUAAUUGACAACAAUAAUUCUUACGCGUUAGCUGCGUAAUCGGAUAAAUUCUGAUUGCCUUAAUCCACUCUGAAGUAUAGUAGGAGGGACUAACUACUCACCACAAUUUUGCCUGAUGGUUGCGGAAUUUGGGUAUCGAUAAUUGGGCUGGUCAGUACAGGGCUGUGAUGUGCUGACGAGAUUUUACUGCAGCUUAGGUUAAAAGUAGGGUGUCUGUGUCCGGCUUUUAACUGAACUCUAACCACAGAAUAAACAUGUAGAAAUUAUAUAGACCCGUUGUUAGGACGAGGGUUCGAUCCCCUCCGGCUCCACAA
RNAcentral lists this transfer-messenger RNA (407 nucleotides) under Crocinitomicaceae. Its description in RNAcentral is "JABURP01 sp014762645 Standard tmRNA". It matches the Rfam family "transfer-messenger RNA". From Rfam's summary of the family: Bacterial tmRNA, also known as 10Sa RNA or SsrA, is named for its dual tRNA and mRNA-like properties. Its role is to liberate the mRNA from a stalled ribosome. RNAcentral also lists the same sequence under 1 other name. The record is from RNAcentral. Lineage: Bacteria; Pseudomonadati; Bacteroidota; Flavobacteriia; Flavobacteriales.